AUUACACAAGGCAGUAAUUGUGUCGGCGCAUCAGCUGGAUUUGGAGGUUGGGAUAAAUACACAGUGGAUAAACAUGACUUUAAAUUUCCAAACGAUUUGUCGAUUGAGGUAGGCUCAAAAACCCGAAUGAAACACUUGGUAUUGCAGCUGCAUUAUACAACUAAGCAAACAAACCAGACCAAACCUGCUGCCAAAGUUGUUUUCCAACUUUCUGAUUAUCCGACUCGGUAUCAAUUCCAAUUGUAUACGAUUGGUAACAGAGGAUAUAUCCCAAGUAACACAUCUAAAGGGUUUCUGACAAAUGUUGCGUGUCGAUGGGAAUUGCCUAGUGCAAAAGCUUACCGUUAUCGAGUACACACACAUCAUAUAGAACUGGUAUGAAGUACUUGGAGGACCAAAACGAUUAGAACAUGGGGAUAUACUGGCUGCUAGAUGUCUUUACAUCAAUUCAAAUGCAAAGGAUAUUCAUUUUGGAAUGGAAAACGACAACGAGAUGUGUUCCUUCAGUCUGGAACUGGGGUAUAGGAAGGAAGAUCAUUCACAUUUUGGGAAACAAUUUUACUGUGAAGCAGAAUCGCCUACUUUCCGGUUCAGAAACUUUCCAAGUCUGAACUUUUUUUAAUCAGUGAUAUAAAUAAAGAUAUCAA
This is a long non-coding RNA of Mytilus californianus (California mussel), 647 nucleotides long. RefSeq lists it as uncharacterized. The record is from RefSeq and is a predicted model, not a curated record. Lineage: Eukaryota; Metazoa; Mollusca; Bivalvia; Mytilida; Mytilidae. The transcript is spliced from 8 exons.